AAGUUGACGGGGGCCCGCACAAGCGGAGGAACAUGUGGUUUAAUUCGAUGAUACGCGAGGAACCUUUACCUGGGCUUAAAUGUAGAGUGCAUUCCCGAGAAUCGGGAUUUUCUUCGGAACUCUUUGCAAGGUGCUGCAUGGUUGUCGUCAGCUCGUGCCGUGAGGUGUCGGGUUAAGUCCCAUAACGAGCGCAACCCUUAUCGUUAGUUGCCAGCGGGUAAUGCCGGGAACUCUAGCGAAACUGCCGGUGUAAACCGUGAGGAAGUGGGGAUGACGUCAAAUCAGCAGGCCCUUAUGUCCAGGGCUACACACGUGUUACAAUGGCCGGUACAGAGGGCAGCUACCUGGAGACAGGAUGCGAAUCUCCAAAGCCGGUCUCAGUUCGGAUCGGAGUCUGCAACUCGACUCCGUGAAGCUGGAUUCGCUAGUAAUCGCGCAUCAGCCAUGGCGCGGUGAAUACGUUCCCGGGCCUU
This 473-nucleotide ribosomal RNA is filed under the name uncultured Sphingobacteriales bacterium. RNAcentral describes it as "bacterial SSU rRNA". It matches the Rfam family "Bacterial small subunit ribosomal RNA", at positions 910 to 1382 of the family's 1533-position model. Lineage: Bacteria; Pseudomonadati; Bacteroidota; Sphingobacteriia; Sphingobacteriales. The record is from RNAcentral.